RNAcentral lists this unclassified non-coding RNA (1691 nucleotides) under Actinia tenebrosa (Australian red waratah sea anemone). RNAcentral's name for it is "adrenocorticotropic hormone receptor-like, transcript variant X2". The record is from RNAcentral. Lineage: Eukaryota; Metazoa; Cnidaria; Anthozoa; Actiniaria; Actiniidae.
UUAAGAUCAGUCAAAGACAAAGUAACACCAGAGUUAAUUUUCACGGUAAACAGACAUCUGGGAAGGAUUCUUUGUUUUUAUUUAGAUCGGAGCUGAUUGUAAAGCGAUCGUUAUAGCCAUCGGCCACCGACUGAAGACAUGUCUUUACUAGGCUCUUAUCCGUGUUCAAAUAUUUCGGCUCCUACAAGCCUCAGCAUCACCUCGGCAGCAAUNUGCUCUGUUUUGACAGUCACAGCCGUAGUAGGGAACAUUCUCGUUCUUCUUGCUGUUGUCAUUGACCCCAACCGCAAUCUUCGCUCGCCGUUCAACUUCCUUGUGGCNAAUUUAGCUGCUGCAGAUCUGAUUGUAGGNUGCUUCGCUCUUCCAAUGUCGGUAGAGUUCUACGUUCGUGAGGCUUUAGAAGGCACAAGCGUCAAACCCUGGGAUCACGCCAGACGUGUAGGUUAUUUUAUAUCUAGCACAGCAUCGCUAUUGAGNCUAGCUGCUUUGACUGUUGAUCGAUUUGUCGCCAUAACCUAUCCAAUGAAAUAUCGAGCCAAGCUUAGUCCAAAACGAACACUCUUUGUCUCAGUUUCACUAUGGACUGUGUCUAUCGCCUUUCCGUUUUUGUACUUCGAAGUUGGAUAUUUGAAAUACCAAUUCGUAUUCGCCAACACUGCUGUCAUAGCAACUUUUAUCGUUUUAUGUCUGACCUACGCUAAAGUUUUCAAAAGCUUCAAGUCGCAAGUGCGAAGCUGGGACACUCUUCAUACCAGCAGUGAAGAAAAUCAAAUCAAAAGGAGAACAAUUCUAUGGGANAAGAAGGUUACAAAAACAUUCCUGAUCAUGUUGACGCUUUUUAUCUCCUGUUUCCUGCCUUCGCUGAUUCUCAUAUAUAUCAUCAGUUUUUGUGGGAACUGUAACUGUAUCUUUAUUCAUUGGGCUAGGGAUAUUAACUACUACUUAACGAUGGCAAAUUCGACCAUGAAUCCCUUCGUUUUUGCCUGGCGACUCAAAACAUACAGGAGUGCUUUCAUGAAGAUUUUAACGUGUGGGGAAAUUGGAAAACGUAUGGUAUCUGUCACGGACAGUUUCAUGUCAUGGAAAGGACAGUUCAAUGUAUCAAUGACAUCUUUAGGACCUCCAUCUUCUAAUUCUUUACCAGGUGCAAGCUAAUCAUGAUCAGGAAGAUAAGUCGAAGGACUGCGAGGAACCCCAAUGAAACAGGCUGACCCGGAAGCAACCCUAGCUAGCCUCGUGUCAUGAUCGAUGGACGGAAAUAUUCUUUGACACCAACCAUCAAAACANGGCUAAAAACAUCGAAUACAAGUUUUGAUUACGAAUAUAAACUCGAAAGCGAAAGGAUACGGACCUUGAGAUUAUAUUACCCAGUCUCUGAAAUCCAAGAGCAAAGAGUUAGGAGAGACAGACAGUAAAGAAAAAAGCUGCCAACUCUUUCUGGCGUUUCCUNAUAGAAGCAGGAUCAAUCUCUUCAAUAGAAAACAAUUUGUUCAAAACUGUCUAAAAGGAAAGAGGAAAAUAGCAAGAUGAAGUUGUGAUGAAGAGCAAGAUAUUUUGUAUCAUCCUCAGCAACACUGCAAGAGCCUAGAAGUUUAUUCAACUGGGAUAAACCAGCUUUCAAGAUAGUGAUUUUUUUAACUUUUACUUAAAUUCUGGACUCCCAUUUUUUUUCCUUUUUUUUUUCAUUUCCA